This 459-nucleotide ribosomal RNA is filed under the name uncultured bacterium. RNAcentral describes it as "bacterial SSU rRNA". It matches the Rfam family "Bacterial small subunit ribosomal RNA", at positions 349 to 793 of the family's 1533-position model. The record is from RNAcentral.
CAGCAGUAGGGAAUCUUCGGCAAUGGACGAAAGUCUUGACCGAGCAACGUCCGCGUGAGUGAAGAAGGUUUUCGGAUCGUAAAACUCUGUUGGUAGAGUAAGAACGUUGGUGAGAGUGGAAAUCUCAUCAAGUGACGGUAACUACCCAGAAAGGGACGGCUAACUACGUGCCAGCAGCCGCGGUAAUACGUAGGUCCCGAGCGUUGUCCGGAUUUUAUUGGGCGUAAAGCGAGCGCAGGUGGUUUAUUAAGUCUGGUGUAAAAGGCAGUGGCUCAACCAUUGUAUGCAUUGGAAACUGGUAGACUUGAGUGCAGGAGAGGAGAGUGGAAUUCCGUGUGUAGCGGUGAAAUGCGUAGAUAUAUGGAGGAACACCGGUGGCGAAAGCGGCUCUCUGGCCUGUAACUGACACUGAGGGCUCCGAAAGCGUGGGGAGCAAACAGGAUUAGAUACCCUCGGUAG